GGGUGCUUACACAUGCAAGUCGAACGAUGAACACCAGCUUGCUGGUGGGAUUAGUGGCGAACGGGUGAGUAACACGUGAGUAACCUGCCCUUGACUCUGGGAUAAGCGUUGGAAACGACGUCUAAUACCGGAUAGGACUCCUGGCCGCAUGGUCUUGGGGGUGGAAAGAUUUUCUGGUCAAGGAUGGACUCGCGGCUAUCAGGUUGUUUGGUUGAGGUAAUGGCUCACCAAGCCGACGACGGGUAGCCGGCCUGAGAGGGUGACCGGCCACACUGGGACUGAGACACGGCCAGACUCCUACGGGAGGCAGCAGUGGGGAAUCAUUUGCACCAAUUGGGCGCAAGCCUGAUGCAAGCAAACGCCGCAGUGAGGGACGACCGGCCUUCGGGUAGUAAAACCUCUUUAAGUAAGUGGACAUGACAGCGACAAC
Molecule: ribosomal RNA, 430 nt
Filed under: bacterium W07
Lineage: Bacteria
Description: bacterial SSU rRNA
Rfam family: Bacterial small subunit ribosomal RNA
Source: RNAcentral